RNAcentral lists this non-coding RNA (22 nucleotides) under Arabidopsis thaliana (thale cress). Lineage: Eukaryota; Viridiplantae; Streptophyta; Magnoliopsida; Brassicales; Brassicaceae. The record is from RNAcentral.
UGUAGAGCCUAUCAAACUCGUC